AUUGAACGCUGGCGGCAUGCUUUACACAUGCAAGUCGGACGGCAGCACAGAGAAGCUUGCUUCUUGGGUGGCGAGGGGCGAACGGGUGAGUAACAUAUCGGAACGUACCGAGCCGUGGGGGAUAACUAAUCGAAAGAUUAGCUAAUACCGCAUAUCUUCUGAGGAAGAAAGCAGGGGACCAUUUGGCAUUGCGCUGUUUGAGCGGCCGAUAUCUGAUUAGCUAGUUGGUGGGGUAAAGGCCUACCAAGGCGACGAUCAGUAGCGGGUCUGAGAGGAUGAUCCGCCACACUAGGACUGAGACACGACCGAGACUCCUACGGCAGGCGGCAGUGGGGAAGUUUGGACAAUGGUCGGAAGCCUGAUCCAGCAGUGCCGCGUGUCUGAAGAAGGCCGUCGGGUUGUAGAGGACUUUUGUCAGGAAUGAAAAGGGCGGGGUUAAUACGCCUGUGUGUUGACGGUACCUGAAGAAUAAGCACCGGCUAACUACGUG
Molecule: ribosomal RNA, 490 nt
Filed under: uncultured bacterium
Lineage: Bacteria
Description: partial 16S ribosomal RNA
Rfam family: Bacterial small subunit ribosomal RNA
Source: RNAcentral